Molecule: non-coding RNA, 9033 nt
Organism: Lactuca sativa (garden lettuce)
Lineage: Eukaryota; Viridiplantae; Streptophyta; Magnoliopsida; Asterales; Asteraceae
Source: RefSeq, a predicted model, not a curated record
UUGGCUGGUUAAUACUAAAUAUGAAGGAACCCUAAUACGAAAUAGAUGCAAAAUUUGGAAUGUCGGUUUAACUAAACUUUCCAUAUUUUCAAGUUAUUUAAUGCCAAUUCUUAAUUAAAAUCAUGAUCUUCCAUAAACGGUUCGUUUGACUACAAAAGAGCGCCAGGCUCUUGUACUCUUCGGUAUUCAUAUUUCUUCUUCCUGAUCUCUCGUAUCCACCUUUGUUUUCAUCAAAUUACGAGGUUAAUCGUUUUCCUCGUUCUUGGUAUGCUCUUAGUCGUUUUCUUUCUCUUCAUCGAAAAUACAUAUGCGUUUUUCUAGGGUUUUAAACACACUAUAUGUAGAUUCUUGGGUUCUGAAAGGAACACUUAGAUUUUAGUCGUUUUCUCCGGUUCCAGUAAAUAAUGCCACUUCCAAAACAGAACUAAUCUCUAGAAAUUGGCGACAGUGGAACAGACGAUGAUGUCGGAGAGCAAGCGUUCUUAGCUGUUCUUCUUUCAUGCUCUGCAUUUUUUCUUCAGGAGAUGUGUGAUCCACACUACGACCCCGACGCGUUUUUGCCUUUGUGUCUUCCCCAAAACCUAUUUCUAUCCAACUCCAACUCCAACCACAAUUUCUCUUUUCCACAAACCUUUCCGCUCUCCAAAUCCCCUGCAACAAUUCGAAUCAUUCACACUUGCUUACUCGAUUAGAGACAACACUUUGGAUUGUUGUUAGGAUCAUUGUGGGAUAUAACAACAAGAAAUACUACAUUGAUAUCAUUGAAUCAAAGCCUUCAAAUCCAAUAACCAUCAUUGAAACCGAUUGUGGUCUUGAUUACAAGGAACCAAAGAGGCCCCACCCCUAUCAUCCUUGCCACCUGACCAAGAGGAAGCAAAAUUGAACCUGUUUAAAAUACCAACCACCUCCUGUUUCCACCACUUCCGCCUCCAAUGGAAAACAACUGGUGGAGGUGUGCCACUGCCGCCUCCUACCGGUUCUAGCUCCCACCAAACUCAGGGAAAACUCGUGUUCAGUUCUAAUGCCGCCUCUCAAAAGCAAAAGGCACCAAUUAUUUGAAGAUGAAACUGAAGGCAUUUGACACUUAAGUUGAGAUGUAGGAAUUCUCUUUUAGUGCUGGUUCUUGUCACUUAUAGUCGAGAAACUGAUACUUCAAGUUUACUGAGAGAUAGCAAAAUACUUUCAGCUCUUAUUCCAGGCAUGCUCUGUUCUACUAAACAUCUUUAUAUUUUCUUGUGUCUUCUUCAUUCUUGUUUUUGUAUGAUACUUUACAUUGAUUAGCAUUUCAUAUCUACGCAUUUUAGAUUCUGUUUUUUAUAAAAAACAUUUUUUCCUUAAAAAUCAACCCAAUUAUGACAUUGCAUUUUUGUAGGUCUUUUCUGUAACAACAAUGUUACUUUCAAAUUUCUUAUUAAAAACCACAUUUCCCUUUGAAAAUCAUCGCAAUUUUUUUUUUUUAGUUUUUUUUCUUUUACAACGUUGUUACUUUCAAAUAUUUUCAUAUCAAGACAUUUUGUUAAAAAGUCCUUUCAUUAUUUUCUUCUUUGGGCAUUUUACUAUGAAAUUUUUAACAAUUAUAGCAUUGUAUUAAGUUUUAUUAUUAAAAGCACAUUUUCCUUAGAAUAAAUAUCUCAAUUAAAGCUUUGCAGUUUUUUAGAAUAAAUAUUUUUUUUUUCAAGACAUAUCUUAUGAAAAAUCAUCUCAAUUAAAGCAUUGCAUUUUUAAAUUUUCUUUUACUAUUACAACAUUUUUACUUUCAAAUAUUCUUUUAUCAAGACAUUUUUUACAAAAUUAUCCACAUUUUUUACUCAUCUAGGCAUUUUACUUUGAAAAUUUACUGUUUAUAGCAUUGUACUUUCAAUUUUCUUAUUAAAAGACAUUUUCUUUUAAAAAAAUCAUCCCGUUUAAAGCAUUGUUUUUUUUUUCCUGUUACAACAUUUUUAAAUCAAAAUAUUCUUUUAUCAAAAUAUCUUUAAAUUAUCUAGGCAUUUUACUUUGAAAGGGUUACCAAUUACAGCAUUGUACUUUUAGUUUUUUUUUUUUUUUUAUUAAAAGCACAUAUUUUUUUGAAAAAUCAUUCCAUCUAAAGCAUUGUAUUUGUUUAAUUUUUGUUUACCAAUACAACAUUUUUACUUUCAAAUAUUCUUUUAUCAAAGACGUUUUAUACAAAAUCUUUGCAUUUCUUAAUUAUCUAUUCUAGGCAUUUUACUUUGAAAAAUUUAUCAAUUAUAGCAUUGUAAUUUCAGUUUCCUUAUUAAAAGAACAUUUCUUUUGAAAAAUCAUCCCAAUUAAAGCCUUACGUUUUUUAAUUUUUCUUCCUUUUACAACAUUUUUACUUUCAAAUAUCAUUUAUCAAGAAAUUGUUUUCAAAAAUAUUUUCAUUUUUAUUUAUCUAGGCAUUUUACUUUGAAAAAAUUUACCAAAUAUAGCACUGUACUUUCAUUGUUCUUUUUAAAAGCAGAUUUCUUUUGAAAAAUCAUUCCAAUUAAAGCAUUGCAUUUUUUUAGUUUUUUUUUUUACUAUUUCAACAUUUAAACUUUCAAAUAUUCUUUUAUCAAGACAUUUCUUUACAAAAAUCUUUACAUUUUACACUUAUGUAGGCUGUUUACUUUGAAAAUUUUACCAUUUGCAGCAUUUUACUUUAAGUUUUCUUAUUAAAAGUACAGUUACUUUGAAAAAUCAUCCCAAUCAAAGCUUUGCACCUUUUUAGAUACAUAGUUACUUUCAAACAUUUUGAUCAAGACAUUUUAUUAAAAAUUAAUUUAUAAAUGUUUUACAACUAUGCAUUUUAAUUUGAAAAGUUUACCAGUUAUAGCAUUGUACUUUCAGUUUUCUUUUUAAAAGCACAUUUUUUUGAAAAAUAAUACCAAAUAUAGCAUUGAAUUUUCAAGUUUUUUGUUCCUAUUAAAACAAUUUUAAUUUCAAAUAUUAUUUUAUCAAGACAUUUUAUUAAAAAGUCUUUACAUCUUUUACUUAUCUAGGCAUUUUACUUUGAAAAUUUUACCAAUUACAGCGUUGUACAGUUUUCUUAUUGCAUUUUUUUUUAACUUUUUUUCUUAUUAAUAUUACAUCAUUUUUACUUGCAAAUAUUCUUUUUUCAAGACAUUUUUUACAAAAUUCUUUGCAUUUUUUUACUUAUAUAGGCAUUUUAGUUUGAAAAAUUUACCAAUUAUAUCUUUGUACUUUCAUUUUUUAGUUAUUCAUUUAUUAAAAGAACAUAUCUUUUAUAAAAUCAUCCUACUUAAAGCAUUGCAUUUUUUUAGUUUUUUUACUUUUACAUCAUUUUUACUUGCAAAUAUUCUUUUAUCAGAACAUUUUUUUAGGCAUUUUACUUUGAAAAAAUUACCAAUAAUAGCUUUGUACUUUUAGUUUUUUUUAUUAAAAGCACAUAUCUUUUAUUAAAUCAUCCUACUUAAAGCAUUGCAUUUUUUUAGUUUUUUUUUACUAUUACAACAUUUUUAUAUUCAGUUAUUCUUCUAUCAAGACAUUUGUUACAGAAAUCUUUACAUUUUUUUUUACUUUUUAAGGCAUUUACUUUGAAAACAUACAAAUUAUAGCAUGGUAAUUUCAGUUUUCUUAUUAAAAGCAUAAUUCCUUAGAAAAAACAAUUAAAGCAUUUCAUUUUUUAGCUUUUUUUUACUAUUACAACAUUUUUACUUUCAAAUAUUCAUUUAUCAAGACAUUUUUUACAAAAAUUCUCAAACUUUUUACUUCAAAUUUUUUACCAUAUAUAGCGUUGUACUUUCAAUUUUCUUUUUUUAAAGCACAAUUCUUUUGAAAAAAUCAUCCCAAUUAAAGCAUUAAAUGUUUUUCUAGUUUUUCUUACUAUUGCAUCAUUUUUACUUGCAAAUAUUCUUUUUCAAGACAUUUUUUUACAAAAAUCUUUAUAUUUUUUUACUUAUCUAAGCGUUUUACUUUGAAAAAUUUACUAAGUAUAGCACUGUUUUUUUCAAUUUUGUUAUUAAAAGCACAUUUUCUUUAGUAAAAUCGUCCCAAUAAAGUUUUGUACUUUUUUUUAAAAACUCUUUAAAUUUAUACAUAUCAGGCUUUUUACUUUUAAACUUUUACCAAUUAUAGCUUUGUACUUUCAGUUUUUUUUACUAAAUGCACAUUUUCUAUUUGAAAAUCACCCCAAUUAUAACUUUACAGUUUUCUAGUUUAUUUUAUUUUUAUUUUAUUGCUUUUUUUCAACAUUUUUAAUUUCAAAUAUUCUUUUAUGACAAAUUUAGAAAAAAUAAACUUUACAUCUUUUACAUAUCUAAGCCUACUAUUUUUAGCUAUUUACCAAUUAUAGCAUUAUAGCUUUAGUUUUUUUAUUAAAAAAACAUUUUCCUUUGUACCAAUUUAAGCAUUGUACUUUAAAAAAUCAUCGCAAUUACUUUCCAAUAAUUUUUUAUCAAGACAUUUUAUUAAAAAUCUUUACAUUUUUUUUACUUAUCUUGACAUUUUACUUUGAAAAUUUUACCAGUUAUAGCAUUAUUUUUUCUGUUUUCUUAUUAAAUGCACAUUUCCCUUUGAAAAAUCAUACAAUAUAAAUCUUUACAGUUUAAAGCAUUGUAACUUCCAAAAAAUUCUUAUUAGCACAUUUUGUUUCAAAAAAUUUCCAUUUAUAGAAUUGCAGUUUUUUGUUAUCAAUGUCUUUUAUCAUAUCAAGUCACUUUACUUUGAAAUAUCUAUCCUUUUUUUUUUUUACUUUGAAAAAAUAAUAAUAGUUUUCUCAUCAAGGCAUGUUAUUUUGAAAAAUCCAUCAAAUUUUUUCAUAUCUAGUGAUUUUAUUUUGAAAAAUCUAUUUCAUUUUUCUUUCAACGCAUUUUACUUAGAAAAAUUUAUCAUUUUUUUAUAUCAAAGCUUUUUACUUUAGAAAACCUACCCACUAUAGCAUUGUACUUUCAGUUUUCUUCAAAUAAGCACAUUUUUCUUUCAAAAGUCAACACAUUUAUAGCAUUGCAUUUUGCAUCAUUUUGCAUUUUGCUGUUUGUUUAACAUUAUUACUUUCAUAUUUUAUUUUAUCAAGUCUAAAAAGUCUAUAAACUUUUUUUUAUUAAGGUAUUUUACUUUAGAAAAUUUAUCCUGGUUUUUUGCUCAUCAAAACACUUUAUUUUUUGAAUAAUCCAUCAUUACAACUUUUUAAUUUGAAAAAUCUAAUAAUCUUAAGUCUAAAAAGUCUUAUCAAAUCAUUUUAUUUGAAAAUUUUAUCAUUUUUUUUAUAAAGGCAUUUUACUUUGAAAAAUCAACCCAUUUGUUUUCUUAUAGCUACAACAUUACAACUUUUUUUUUGUUUAAAUCUUAUCAAUUCUUUUUACUUUAAUCUAUCAAAUUUUUUCAUUAUAAAAAAUCUAUUGAGUUAUAGCAUUGUAGUUUCACUUUUCUUAUUUUGAGCACAUAUCUUGUUGAAAAAUCAACCUCAUUUUAGCAUUGCACUUUCAGUAUGUUUCUUUUUUACUACAACAUUGAAAAAUCUAUAAAAUAUUGCAUUGCAUUUUCAGUUUUAUUAUUAUAAGCAUAUUUACCUUUGAAAAAUCAACUCGUUUAUAGCAUUGCACUUUUCAAUUUUCUUUCCGUUAUUGCAUUGUAACUUUCAUGUUUUUUUUCUUUUAAUGUCAUGUUACUUUGAAAAAUCUAUCAGUUUUUUCUAAUGAAGGCAUGUUACUUGAAAAAUCUAUGAUUUAUAGCAUUGCAUUUUUCUUUUUUCCUUUUUCUUUUUUCUACAUCAUUUUAUUUCGAAAAAUCUUUUAAUUAUAGCACUACGCUUUUCGAUUUUCUUUCUGUUGCAACAUUGUAAAUGUCAAUUAUAGCAUGUUAGCUUCAAAAAUCUAUCAAAUUGUUCUUUUAAUUUUUUUUAUUAUAAGCUACAAUUUAAAGCAUUGCGCUUUUAGUUUUCUUAAAACAAACGCAUUUUCUUCGAAAAUUUAAUCCAAUUAUAGCAUUUCAAUUUCAAGUAUCCUUUCUGCUUCAAAAUUUUCUUACCAAGGUCUUUACUUUGAAAAUCAACCCAAUUAUUACAUUGUCAUUUCCAAUCAUAGCAUAUUUUUCUUGUAAAAUCAACCAAUUAAAGCAUUGCAGUGUCCUGUUUUCUUUCUGUUACAACAUUCAAUAAGAAAAUAUGUUGUACUAAUUAUCAACAUGUGUAUGCUUAUGAGAGGUUUUGAAAUGUAUUUUAUUCCUUACAUUUUUGUAUGCUCUGUUGAUGGUUAUUUGUUUUCAGUAGUUGAUAAUAAUUGUUUUAGAAAAAUCAGCUUCAGAAGUCACUUUAUCAAAUAUUUGUAUAUGGGCAGGUUUGCGUUUCCUGUUUCUUACUUUUAAUUUGUAAAUUGUUUACUUGUUUUGAUUGAUGUAUUUGCUUAUUUUGUAAAUAAAUUAUUUAAUUGUUUACUCAAGUUAAUGAAAUAUAUUUAUAUCUUUUAUGAGUUAAUUAUCGGAUUUGAUUUUAAAAAAGUUUUAUGUUCUGGUUUACUUUUUUUUGAAAUUUUACUUUUGAUGACAAGUUUUCUUUCCAACACUUGCAUUUUUAUUACUUACUUGUGUUAUUGUUUACUUAUGGAUAUUUAGUUUGUCUUUUGAAUUUAUGUCACAUUUAUGGCAUUGUUACUUUUUUUUUGUUAUAAAUUUCUAGUAGCGACAUGAUUAUCUGUAGUAUGUAUGAUGUAUCUAUUUAUUUGCCUCGUUUUAUGCUGUUAUGUAGUUAGAAAUGUAAGUGUAAUUCUUAUUAAGAGUUUUAGAUUAUAUGAUCUUUAAGAGCAAUCAACACAUCAUUUUAGUUCUUGUUUUGCAGUGUUUUCAUCAAAUCAUUUGUAUAUGGUGUUUUAUGAAUGUUGUUUUGUAAAAGGUGGUAGGUAGUCUUGUAGUUUUUUAUACAACUUUUUCUUAAUAUCUUGUUUACAUCUUUAUGUAUCGUGUGGUUUCUGCCUUUGUCCAUAAGCAUUUAUUAGUUACUAAUGCUUCUUUGACUUCAGAUAUAUUAUUAUAGGCUAAUACGUACAACUAUUGUGUCUUGGUUAUAAGCCUGAUCAUAAUGUUAUUUUUGUAGUUUUGCUUGUUUAAUUUCAUAUAUAUAUAUAUAUAUAUACAUAUAUAUAUGACUUUUUUUCCUAAUGUACGUAGUUUUACUUUAAAAUAUUCCUCACCCACUUGGGCUAGCUAUUUUUAUAUAUUCCAUUUAAUAAUACUAAAUAGUUAUUGUUCUAAAUUUAUCAUACAUAUGAAAUGCAAAAAGCUGUCAAUUCAAAACUUACACCAUUUCUGGCUUUCUUUAUUGGUCAAAUUACUCACUUUUAUUUUAUUGAUUAUUGGUAUUUAUCAAGACUCACUUUUGAUUUUUUUUUCCUCUCAAUUUAUUACCAAGUCUAGUGGCAGAUUCAAAUAGCCACCUGAUCAAAAUUUGCAGCAUCUAUGGCAGAUAUGGGAGAGAUCUAAUUUUUUUUUGUUAUAAGAAGAGCUCUUAAUUGGUUGCAGGAUUGGUCUCUCCGGAAGAGUAAAAUGAUUAAAGAACUUGUCUUGUUUAACAACAGGAGAGGAGAUAGAAUUAUGGUGGGAUAUAACAACAAUAAAUUCUACAUUGAUAUAAUUGAAUCAAAGCCUUCAAAUGCAAUAAGCAACGUUGAAAUCGAUUGUGAGAAGAGGAACCAAAAUUCAACCUGUUUAUAGGAUCAGGAAGAAGAUUGUAUGCUCUUUUAAGUUGUUGUCAGUUAUAGUGGAGAUACUGAAUCUUUCUUAUGCUCCAAGUUUUCUGAGAAAUACCAAAAUACUUUCAGCUUUUAUUCCAGUUGAUAAUAUUUGUUUUAGAAAAAUCAGUUUCAGAAGCCACUUGAUCAAAUAUUUGCAUAUGGGCAGUUUCUUACCGAGUCUAGUGGCAGAUUCAAAUAGCCGUCUGAUCAAAAUUUGCAGCAUCUAUGGCAGAUAUUUGAUUCCUACAAAAAGCCACCCAGACCGAAAUUUGCAUAGGCAAUAGCAGAUUAUCGAUCCCGGGCCUCCUCUUCCUGGGUCACUGAUAUUGGGUCUAGUCAUCAUGUUGCAUCCGAUCUCUCGAGCUUUGAUCACUCCGAGGCAUACCAUGACCAUGACAACUUAUUUGUUGGCAACGGGCCUGGACCACCAACACCACUAUACACAUUCUCCAUCCCUGCGACGACGUCGGAAAGGAAAGCCAUCGCAGUAAACUAGGGUUGUUAUUAUCUGAAUAGAGGGCGGUGGUGGUGAUUUCUGUAAGAUUUUAGCAAGAAGUGAAGCAUACGACUGUUUUUAUGUGCGUAUUUCUGGAGAUUUUUUUUUUAAUCUUGAAUCAGAAAUUACAUGUUGAGGUGGAGGUUCAAAGUUGGCACGCCAAGUGUUCGAUGAAAGUACUGAGAUACGUCCAGUGGUGUUCCAUUUUCUGAGAGUUUCACCACAUAUUAGCCCACUAUCUGCUGGUCCACGUGGACAUUGGAAUCAUUGCAAAGUGAAUCCAAAAGAAUGCCUUCGUAAUCAAAUAAGAGUUUUGCAAGGUUGUUGAUCUGUUUUUACAAAGAGUUGCAGGAUUGGUGUCGCCAGAAGAGUAAAUAUGAUUAGAGACAACACUUUGUCCUGUUGUUAGCAUCCUUGUGGGAUAUAACAAGAAGAAAAAAAAAUACUACAUUGAUAUCAUUGAAUCACAACCAUCAUACGGUGUUGGUGUUACUUUCUUCUACGGGAGAUGUAUUUGAAAUCCGAGUUUAUUAUUCGAGGACAUGACAUUUGUUCGGGAUCAUUCAAUUGGAUGUGCCAAUUGGAUAUGCGUAGGAGCAUGGUACACGUUAAAGUUAAAAGCAAGCCAAUCCAUAUUAUGAGAUUUCACACCCUCAAGUUUAAAGAUAAGGCUUCAUAUGCCCAAUGGUUAUAAUAUAUGUCUAGAGUACCCCCUCCAGGUGGUUUACUUAUCAAUUUACACCCUCAGUUUGUUUUUGUGGUGAAUAUUAUUGCAAACAUAUGACGAUCGAAUUGACAAAAAGUAAACUUGGAGGUGUUAUUCUAAACACUUUCAAAUAAGUUAUUAACAUGGAGGCAUUGAGGGGAGCAAAA